UGCAGUAGCAAGUAGAUGUAUAGAAUAGGGUGUUACAGUGCAUGUGAUCUACUUGGAUUUUGCAAAGGUGUUCAAUAUGUUUCCACACAAUAGGCUAGUGUUCAAAGUAAAAUAAAUUGGUCUAAAUGAAAAUGCUUGUUCUUGGGUAGAUCAUUGGCUUAAUCAUAGAGAAUAGAGAGUUGUCAUUAAUGGUACAUUUUCAAGCUGGGCAAUAGUGGUAAAUAGUGUGUUC
Molecule: non-coding RNA, 232 nt
Organism: Pelobates cultripes (western spadefoot toad)
Lineage: Eukaryota; Metazoa; Chordata; Amphibia; Anura; Pelobatidae
Source: the annotation of a GenBank genome assembly